GACGAACGCUGGCGGCGUGCUUAACACAUGCAAGUCGAACGGAAAGGCCUGCUUUCCCUUGUGGAUUGCGGGUACUCGAGUGGCGAACGGGUGAGUAACACGUGAGUGAUCUGCCCCCAACUUGGGUAUAAGCCUGGGAAACUGGGUCUAAUUCCCGAUAGGACUGCAGGGUGGUGCCUGUGGUGGAAAACGAUUUUCUAGUGGUUGGGGAUGAGCUCUCGGCCUAUCAGCUUGUUGGUGGGGGAAUGGCCUACCAAGGCGGCGACGGGUAGCCGGCCUGGGAGGGUGGACGGCCGCAUUGGGACUGGGAUACGGCCCCGACUCCUACGGGAGGCAGCAGUGGGGAAUAUUACACAAUGGGCGGAAGCCUGAUGCAGCGACGCCGCGUGGGGGAUGACGGCCUUCGGGUUGUAAGCUCCUUUCGACCGCGAGGAAGCCACCUGGUUGGAAGGGUGGUGACGGUAGUGGUAGAAGAAGCACCGGCUAACUACGUG
This 494-nucleotide ribosomal RNA is filed under the name uncultured bacterium. RNAcentral describes it as "partial 16S ribosomal RNA". It matches the Rfam family "Bacterial small subunit ribosomal RNA", at positions 28 to 507 of the family's 1533-position model. The record is from RNAcentral.